RNAcentral lists this ribosomal RNA (253 nucleotides) under uncultured bacterium. RNAcentral's name for it is "partial 16S ribosomal RNA". It matches the Rfam family "Bacterial small subunit ribosomal RNA", at positions 524 to 776 of the family's 1533-position model. The record is from RNAcentral.
UACGGAGGGUGCAAGCGUUAUCCGGCCUCACAGGGUUUAAAGGGUGCGUGGGCGGCUUGAUAAGUCAGAGGUGAAAGCCCACGGCUCAACUGUGGAACUGCCUUUGAUACUGUCAGGCUUGAAUUGGGUUGAGGCAGGCGGAAUGUGGCAUGUAGCGGUGAAAUGCUUAGAUAUGCCAUAGAACACCGAUUGCGAAGGCAGCUGGCUGGGCCUACUUUGACCCUGAGGCGCGAAAGCGUGGGGAGCGAACAUG